GGAGAGGUGGCCGAGCGGCCGAAGGCAGGCGCCUGCUAAGCGUCUGAGGGGAAACUCUCCGAGGGUUCGAAUCCCUCCCUCUCCG
RNAcentral lists this transfer RNA (85 nucleotides) under Candidatus Coatesiibacteriota bacterium. RNAcentral's name for it is "Candidatus Coatesbacteria bacterium tRNA-Ser". It matches the Rfam family "tRNA". From Rfam's summary of the family: Transfer RNA (tRNA) molecules are approximately 80 nucleotides in length. Their secondary structure includes four short double-helical elements and three loops (D, anti-codon, and T loops). Lineage: Bacteria; Candidatus Coatesiibacteriota. The record is from RNAcentral.